This 86-nucleotide transfer RNA is filed under the name Serendipita vermifera MAFF 305830. It matches the Rfam family "tRNA". Rfam says of the family: Transfer RNA (tRNA) molecules are approximately 80 nucleotides in length. Their secondary structure includes four short double-helical elements and three loops (D, anti-codon, and T loops). The record is from Rfam by way of RNAcentral. Lineage: Eukaryota; Fungi; Basidiomycota; Agaricomycetes; Sebacinales; Serendipitaceae.
GACUCUGUAGCUCAAUGGUAAGAGCGCACCAUUCCAACCAGCAAUUGUCCACCGGUGAGGUCUGAGGUUCGAAUCCCGGCGAGUCC